Molecule: ribosomal RNA, 468 nt
Filed under: uncultured bacterium
Lineage: Bacteria
Description: partial 16S ribosomal RNA
Rfam family: Bacterial small subunit ribosomal RNA
Source: RNAcentral
GACGAACGCUGGCGGCGUGCUUAACACAUGCAAGUCGAACGGAAAGGCCCUGCUUUUGUGGGGUGCUCGAGUGGCGAACGGGUGAGUAACACGUGAGUAACCUGCCCUUGACUUUGGGAUAACUUCAGGAAACUGGGGCUAAUACCGGAUAUGAGCUCCUGCUGCAUGGUGUGGGUUGGAAAGUUUCGGCGGUUGGGGAUGGACUCGCGGCUUAUCAGCUUGUUGGUGGGGUAGUGGCUUACCAAGGCUUUGACGGGUAGCCGGCCUGAGAGGGUGACCGGCCACAUUGGGACUGAGAUACGGACCAGAAUCCUACGGGAGGCAGCAGUGGGGAAUAUUGCACAAUGGGCGGAAGCCUGAGGCAGCAACGCCGGGUGCGGGAUGACGGCCUUCGGGUUGUAAACCGCUUUCGCCUGUGACGAAGCGUGAGUGACGGUAAUGGGUAAAGAAGCACCGGCUAACUACGUG